RNAcentral lists this ribosomal RNA (253 nucleotides) under uncultured bacterium. Its description in RNAcentral is "partial 16S ribosomal RNA". It matches the Rfam family "Bacterial small subunit ribosomal RNA", at positions 524 to 776 of the family's 1533-position model. The record is from RNAcentral.
UACGGAGGGUGCAAGCGUUAAUCGGAAUUACUGGGCGUAAAGCGCACGCAGGCGGUCAAUUAAGUCAGAUGUGAAAGCCCCGAGCUUAACUUGGGAGUUGCAUCUGAAACUGGUUAACUAGAGUGUUGAAGAGGGGAGUAGAAUUCCAUGUGUAGCGGUGAAAUGCGUAGAGAUGUGGAGGAACACCGGUGGCGAAGGCGGCCUCCUGGACUAAAACUGACGCUGAUGUGCGAAAGCGUGGGGAUCAAACAGG